Molecule: ribosomal RNA, 2568 nt
Filed under: compost metagenome
Description: bacterial LSU rRNA
Rfam family: Bacterial large subunit ribosomal RNA
Source: RNAcentral
GGAAGACAGAAUGAGCACACGAUGGAUGCCCUGGCGCUGCGUGCCGAUGAAGGACGGGGCACCGCUCCGAUAAGCUCUGGGGAGCCGCUUGCAGGCGUCGAUCCAGAGGUCUCCGAAUGAGGCAACUCACCCUUUUCAAGGGUACCGGGCUCGUCCCGGAGGGCACCCGGCCAACUGAAACAUCUCAGUAGCCGGAGGAAGAGAGAACCACACCCGUAGUAGUGGCGAACGAACCGGGUCCUCGCCUAAACCACGCCCGUGCCAAGGCGCCAGCCGUUGCGGCCGUGGGGUUGUAGGACAGUAGAUCCGAGGCUCUGGCGGGCCUCACAGCGCCCUCAAGCGGUAGGAGAAGCGGUCUGGAACGCCGCACCAUAGCAGGUGAUAGUCCUGUAUCCGCCGCCCACCGACGCUGCUGCUGCUCCUGAGUAGGGCCAGGCACGAAGAACCUGGUCCGAAGCUGGGCUGACCACAGUCCAAGGCAAGCUACACGCAGCGACCGAUAGCGCACAGUACCGUGAGGGAACGGUGAAAAGCACCCCGGCGAGGGGAGUGAAAGAGACCCUGAAAUCGUGUGUUUCCACGCCGUUGAAGAGGUAGGAGGCCUUGUGUCUCACCUCGACAGCGUGCCUUUUGGAGUAUGAUCCGGCGAGUUCACCCGCGUGGCUUGGUUAAGGCAGGCACAGCCGGAGCCAGAGUGAAAGCGAGCCUGAAUAGGGCGCCGUCGCGCAGGUGAGACGCGAAACCACGUGAGCUACCCAUGGGCAGGCUGAAGCGUCCCUAACAGGACGUGGAGGGCCGCACCGGUGUGGGUUACAAACCGCUCGGAUGACCUGUGGGUCGAGGUGAAAUGCCAAUCGAACGUGGAGAUAGCUCGUUCUCCCCGAAAUGCAUUGAGGUGCAGCCGCGUUUUGGCGCUGCUGGAGGUAGAGCACUGUUGUUGUGCGGGGGCUUCACCGCUUACCAAGCGACGGCAAACUCCGAAUGCCAGCUAGCGCGCAGCGCGAGUGAGACGGCGGGUGCGAACAUCCGUCGUCGAGAGGGAAACAACCCAGACCUGCCGCUAAGGCCCCCAAGUUGAACCUCAGUGGAAAAGGUUGUAGUGCCGCGCAGACAACCAGGAGGUUGGCUUAGAAGCAGCCAUCCUUUAAAGAGUGCGUAACAGCUCACUGGUCGAGUAGCGCCGCGCCGAAGCUUCAACGGGGCAAAGGUUCACGCCGAUGCGCAGGACGAGUGGCAACACUCGUGGUAGGGGAGCGUCGCUGGUGGGACGAAGUCACAGCGUAAGCCGUGGUGGACUGCCAGCGAGUGCGAAUGCCGGAAUGAGUAACAGAGAAGUGGGGUGAGAACCCCCACCGCCGAAAGCCUAAGGGUUCCGCCGCACGGGUGCUCCGCGGCGGGUUAGUCGGGCCUAAGCCGACGCUGACAAGCAUAGGCGAUGGACAACGGGUGCACAUUCCCGUACCACCGUCUGCUCGUUUGACCGAUGCCGGACGCUGAGGGGUAGACGCCGCGGCGAGAUGAGCGCCGUCCAAGCCGGUAGGGAGCCAGGGGACUAAAUCACCCUGGCGAUGACCGAGAGGUGAUGGGGAGGUGAAGGAGCAAUCCUUCGCCAACGGGGUUGCGCCUGUGCAGCCGAGAAAUGCCGGCUAGGGAGAGCAGCGGUGCCCGUACCGCAAACCGACACAGGUAGGCAGGUCGAGCAGACCAAGGCGGACGAGUGAGCCCUGGUUAAGGAACUCGGCAAAUUGACCCCGUACCUUCGGAAGAAGGGGUGCCGCGUACGCGUGAAGCCGCUUGCCGGUGGAGCGCGGGGCGGCCGCAGGGCCAGGCCCGGGCGACUGGAUACCAGAACCACAGCUCCCUGCUCAAGCCGCAAGGCGACGUAUAGGGGGUGAUGCCUGCCCAGUGCCGGAAGGUUAAGGGGAGGAGUUUACGCUCCGAACCGAAGCCCCGGUAAACGGCGGCUGUAACUAUAACAGUCCUAAGGUAGCGAAAUUCCUUGUCGGGUAAGUUCCGACCCGCACGAAAGGCAUCACGAUCUGGGCACUGUCUCAACCAGGGGCUCGGUGAAAUUGCAGUGGCCGUGAAGAUGCGGCCAACGCGUAGCAGGACAAAAAGACCCCGUGGAGCUUUACUCUAGCUUGCCAUCGGGUGACUCGGUACGAUGCGUAGCAUAGGUGGGAGCCGGUGAAACCGCCCUCGCGGGGGUGGUGGAGGCGACAGUGAAAUACCACUCUUCGUGCCGCGUUACCCUCACCCGGUUAGCAAACUGGGGACGGUGGCUGGUGGGGAGUUUGACUGGGGCGGUCGCCUCCUAAAUGGUAACGGAGGCGCGCAAUGGUUCCCUCAGGUGGGAUGGCAAUCCACUGGCGCGUGCAACGGCACAAGGGAGCCUGACUGCAAGACAGACAGGUCGCGCAGGGACGAAAGUCGGCCGUAGUGAUCCCACAGUACCGAGUGGAAGGGCUGUGGCUUAACGGACAAAAAGCUACCCCGGGGAUAACAGGCUCAGACCGCCCAAGAGUUCAUAUCGACGGCGGAGCGUGGCACCUCGAUGUCGGCUCGUCG